Panicum hallii is the source of this 966-nucleotide RNA transcript. RefSeq lists it as uncharacterized. The transcript has 9 exons. The record is from RefSeq and is a predicted model, not a curated record. NCBI's taxonomy places the organism in Eukaryota, Viridiplantae, Streptophyta, Magnoliopsida, Poales, Poaceae.
AGCGCAGGCGCAGCGAAAGAGAGAGGCCACAAGCGAAGAGGAUAACUUUCCCCGUCCUCGCCGCCGGCGCCGAUGGCUACGACACCCGCUGCCGCCAUUGUCCUCCACCGCGUGCUCGUCGCACGCUCCGCUGCCGCCAUCCCCCUCCACCGUGCGCCGGCGCCGCGCGGUCCCGCCCCCAUCUUGGUGGCGCCGCCGAGGAGACGGCGGUGGCGUGGCCCUCUCCGGUCGCUGCCUCCCGAAGGAGCUCCAGCCGAGCUGAUGGAAGAGGACUCCAAGUUCGUGCCGUUGAACGCGGACGAUCCCAUGUACGGCCCACCGGCGCUAUUGCUUAUCGGAUUUGAGAAAGGGGAAACUGUCAAGAUUCAGGCCUUCCUGAAAGAGCUUGAAGGUGAAUUCCUCAAGGUGAUUCAUUGUACAGAGGAGAUGAUAAAGCAAACCUUGUGGGAUGCCAUGCACACUGAGCAGUCUAAUUUAGAAGCUGUGAAGAUUGCAGACUCACUGCCAAGGAUAUGCAUAUUUUCUGGUCUGACUGGUGAGGAGAUGAUGAUGUUCAUCAAUGCCUUCCCAGAAACUGGAUUGGAACCAGCUGCUUUUGCUGCACUUGUUCCUAACAGUUCAGAGAAGGUUCUCGGUGAGGUGAUUGAGGAAAUAAUGGGAGACCACGAGAUGCUGACAGGAAAGAACACUGAAUGAAGAGAAUCUAAAGUAGCAAAUGGGCAAAGCAGAAGGACAAGGCCUAUGAAGAACAUUCAACACUGGGAAAACCAUGAGACGAUCUCCUGAAUUCACCAAGUGUUAGACUGUUAGGAUUCUAGGAUUGUUAAUGCAGACCAGUAACUCUUUUUGGUACGCGUAGAACUACAGGAAGCUCGGCAUGGAAAACGAUACCAAGGUAGAGCUGUAGAAGUAGAACCAUCAGUUUAUUUUCUCUCGAAAUAAAUACCAAACUUCCAGCAUCUCGUA